UACGUAGGAGACGAGCGUUGUCCGGAAUCACUGGGCGUAAAGCGCGUGUAGGCGGAUCGGCAAGUCUGCUGUGAAAGCUCCUGGCUUAACCGGGAGUGGUCGUGGAAACUGCCAGUCUGGAGGACGGUAGAGGUAGGUAGAAUUCCCGGUGUAGUGGUGAAAUGCGUAGAGAUCGGGAGGAAUACCUGUGGCGAAGGCGGCCUACUGGGCCGGACCUGACGCUGAGACGCGAAGGCGUGGGGAGCGAACGGG
RNAcentral lists this ribosomal RNA (252 nucleotides) under uncultured bacterium. RNAcentral describes it as "partial 16S ribosomal RNA". It matches the Rfam family "Bacterial small subunit ribosomal RNA", at positions 524 to 776 of the family's 1533-position model. The record is from RNAcentral.